AGUGAACGCUGGCGGUAGGCCUAACACAUGCAGGUCGAACGGCAGCACAGUAAGAUCUUGCUCUUACGGGUGGCGAGUGGCGGACGGGUGAGGAAUACAUCGGAAUCUACUUUUUCGUGGGGGAUAACGUAGGGAAACUUACGCUAAUACCGCAUACGACCUACGGGUGAAAGCAGGGGAUCUUCGGACCUUGCGCGAUUGAAUGAGCCGAUGUCGGAUUAGCUAGUUGGCGGGGUAAAGGCCCACCAAGGCGACGAUCCGUAGCUGGUCUGAGAGGAUGAUCAGCCAGACUGGAACUGAGACACGGUCCAGACUCAUACGGGAGGCAGCCGUGGGGAAUAUUGGACAAUGGGCGCAAGCCUGAUCCAGCCAUACCGCGUGGGUGAAGAAGGCCUUCGGGUUGUAAAGCCCUUUUGUUGGGAAAGAAAAGCAGCAGGUUAAUACCCCGCUGUUCUGAAGGUACCCAAAGAAUAAGCACCGGCUAACUUCGUG
RNAcentral lists this ribosomal RNA (492 nucleotides) under uncultured bacterium. RNAcentral's name for it is "partial 16S ribosomal RNA". It matches the Rfam family "Bacterial small subunit ribosomal RNA", at positions 29 to 507 of the family's 1533-position model. The record is from RNAcentral.